RNAcentral lists this long non-coding RNA (1746 nucleotides) under Arachis ipaensis. RNAcentral's name for it is "long non-coding RNA (AIPA_LNC002433)". Lineage: Eukaryota; Viridiplantae; Streptophyta; Magnoliopsida; Fabales; Fabaceae. The record is from RNAcentral.
UCAAAAGUUAAAUAGUAAAAAGAAAUAUCUAAAUAUUAAAUUUUGACUUUGAGGGUUAACAGGAUCACUUAACACCUCAGAUUCUAAUUUAUUCUAAUUUAGAAAUGUCAGGAGAGUGAGGAGACAAAGGAUUAUCAAUUUCAAAAGAAUGUUGAGAUAGAAAAUGUUGAUCAUUCUGUGGUAUUAUGCUAACUGAACAUGAACCUGAACCUUGCAAGAUGACCUUUUCGGUUUAAUCUUAGGCAGCGUUGCGUUCAUCUGUUGUAAGAGAGCUCUCUUAGCAACAGAUUCUUCUUGCUGAGCAAGCCAUAAACGGGAUCUAGUGUUGUUUCCAAGUUGAGGUAUCAACAUAACAAGUAGUCAUUGAAUAAGAAAGCAUAACAUAUCACCAACUACCUAUACACUUUGACUCUCCUUCCACUACCAUCAUCAUCAUUCAUUAGUUUAUUUAUAUAUGGCAUUGGCAGGUAGCUACCUACUCAUUCAGCAACAACCAGCAUUUGAUUUGAUUUCCAUUUUUAGCAUUCAACAACAACCAUUACAAAACAGCAGCAUAACAACAGCAGCAGCUUAACAAGUCACUAAUCAGAAAUUCCAAAUUUAAUUAGCAAUCCUAUUCUUGUUUCGUGCAUUUAAUUACUCAUAAACAAAACUCAACUCCACUUGAAUUGUUAAUUUAACCUUGGUCUUAUGGAAUCAUAAAUAGGAAUACAUUACAUUGCUCUUUCUUCUAAAAUUCAAGCAACAACAUAUGAUUUCACAAUUUAAAACCUUAUUCACCAGCUUCUCUUCUAAUUCAUUUGGAAUAUGCACAAAUGCACUUUACAGUAUCCAAAUAUCCAAAUACAACAACUCAAUAAUCUCAAAUUCUCAACUCUCAAGCAUAGUUGUAAGAACCGAACCGGUCAUCAAACCGGUUAGGCUACUGGUUUACUGAUUUACUGGUUCAACCGAUAAAUCGCUAGUUAAACCGAUAAAACUGGUCCCACAUAAAUAAAAAAUAUAAAAUAGUAAAAAAUUUGAAAAAUUUAAAAUACAUAUCAUCAAUAGUAUCUUAAUUUGACACAAUAAAAAUAAUAAUCUCUAAAAUUAGUUGUACUACUACAAUUGAAUUAAUGUUCUCGGACAAUAUUCAAUCACUCCUGAAUUCACCAUCAUGGCAUGUUCAUCCAACUUAUAGCAGGUAAUAAUAAUAAUCCUAUCCUUGUCAUAUAGUUUUAGUUCAUAUAUAUGAUCACAUUAUUCAAAUUAAAGUCUUAAAAUCCUUUCAAAAUCACAUUAUACUAUUGAUUCUUUUUUCUAAUUUCAAAACUAACAAUAAAUUUCCCAACACUAUGCAGCAACAUUAUUAUUAAAGGCAUCACCAUCAACAAAAAAAAUCAACAAUCUGCCAUUAACUAGUUCAACAAUAUAACAAGUUAUAACUCAACAAUAUAUACAUGAUCAACAAUCUGCCAUUAACCUAUCAGUUAUUCACUCCCUUCAACAAAUUAAAAUCUAGUUUGCAGACCAAUCUGGAUGAGACAGAUUCUGGCACAGCAAUGUUACAUCAACAAAAACAACUAUACCCACUACGAAUCAGAAAAAAAAAUAACAAUCUGCCAUUAACUAGUUCAACAAUAUAACAAGUAUAACUCAACAAUAUAUACAUAAUCAACAAUCUGCCAUUAACCUAUCAGUUAUUCACUCCCUUCAUCAAAUUAAAAUCCAACUAAAUAACUAAAAAAAACAGAGAACAUAUUUCAC